UGGGCGGGGACGGGGAGGGGCUGGGGGAUUAGUGGGGGCAUACAAGGAGGUGAGUGGGGGUCUCUGGGAGGCCAGUGGGCGGGUCUGCGGGUCCCUGGGUGGUCCCUAGGAGGGUCUGGGGGUCCCUGGGAGGGUCUGGGGGUCCCUGUGCCCUCCCCCCGCAGGCUCUGGGUCUCCCGGGGGGCUGGAGGCCUGCGGGGGGGAGGUCUCCUCCUUCCUGGAGCUGCUGGGGCUGUGCUGGAGACCAUCGAGCGCUUCGGAGGGGCGGGGCAGGGGCAGGCCCCGCCCACGCCAGAGGAUGCACCAAUCAGCUGCUGACCCUCCCCGUCCUAACCAGUUCCCCCCCCCCAAUAAAGCACCAAACUCCGCCA
Long non-coding RNA from Pogoniulus pusillus (Red-fronted tinkerbird), 371 nucleotides. RefSeq lists it as uncharacterized. The transcript has 2 exons. NCBI's taxonomy places the organism in Eukaryota, Metazoa, Chordata, Aves, Piciformes, Lybiidae. The record is from RefSeq and is a predicted model, not a curated record.